ACUAUGUACUCGUAUAUGGUUUCCUAGUGGCGAACGGGUGAGUAACGCGUUGGUGACCUGCCCCGAAGAGGGGAAUAACAACUUGAAAGAGUUGCUAAUACCCCAUAAUAUCAUAUGGAUUAGAUGCCCAAUGAUUAAAGGAGUAAUCCGCUUCGGGAGGGGCCUGCGUCCCAUCAGCUAGUUGGUAGGGUAAUGGCCUACCAAGGCGACGACGGGUAGGGGGCCUGAGAGGGUGGCCCCCCACAAUGGUACUGAAACACGGACCAUACACCUACGGGUGGCAGCAGUAGGGAAUAUUGCCCAAUGGACGAAAGUCUGAGGCAGCAACGCCGCGUGUGCGAUGAAGGCCUUCGGGUUGUAAAGCACUUUUACGUGGGAAGAGGAAGGACGGUACCACGUGAAUAAGGAUCGGCCAACUACGUGCCAGCAGCCGCGGUAACACGUAGGAUUCGAACGUUAUCCGGAAUUACUGGGCGUAAAGCGCGUGCAGGCGGUUUAGUAAGUUGGGUGUUAAAUCUUCGGGCUCAACCCGGAGUCGUCGCCCAAUACUACUAAACUAGAGGACGAUAGAGGGAGGUGGAAUUCCGGGUGUAGCGGUGAAAUGCGUAGAUACCCGGAGGAACACCAGUGGCGAAGGCGGCCUCCUGGGUCGUACCUGACGCUCAGACGCGAAAGCUAGGGGAGCGAACGGGAUUAGAAACCCCGGUAGUCCUAGCCGUAAACGAUGUAGACUUGGUGUUGGUGGUGUGAAAUCCAUCAGUGCCACAGCUAACGCAGUAAGUCUACCGCCUGGGGAUUACG
This 801-nucleotide ribosomal RNA is filed under the name uncultured bacterium. RNAcentral describes it as "bacterial SSU rRNA". It matches the Rfam family "Bacterial small subunit ribosomal RNA", at positions 71 to 884 of the family's 1533-position model. The record is from RNAcentral.